GCAGGACUUUCAGACGGCGGUGACUUUCACGAGCAUCUCCGAGUCUGUCUCAGAUAAUACACCUCGCCAGAGAGAGCGAGAGCAAGCAGCAUUUGAGAGGAACAAAUCCCGGCUUCACCCCACUACCCCGCAGCCCAAGUCGGCCCAUAGAGCACCGCCGUUCUCCAUUCCUCUGUGUACAUCCUCGAGCACCUCCGUGUCAAGAGGAGAAGGGUGCUUGUGCGUGGGAACGCGGACAUCAUGCAGUCCCUCCUUGGUUCAUUCGCGCCCUCCAUAUCCACCUUAAGCCCUCAGAAGGGCGGCAAUGUAGCCUCCAAGUAAGGACGGCGCCGGCCGAUCUGCUUCUCUUCAGAUAAUGUUCGUGGCGGCCGUCAAGUGACUAUGGCAAAGCUUCUGUAACGUUUUAAAGAUUAACAGUUCAUGUGGCAGAAGCUUUACAACUAUGCAUUCCUCACGCCACCGCAGGUGGAUUCCUCUUCAAGGUGCCACAGGUCUUCUUGACUGGCUUGUAGCAACAGCAGACUCAGACGGUGGCCUUUCUGAAAUUGGUGACACAAGGAAAGGUCCCCCCCGCCCGCCCGCCCCAUGGCAACAGAGCAGCUCCUGACUUCCUACACGAGGAGAACCCCGUUUCAAAGCACCGCCAAAGCCCAUCUCCGUCACUGCUCAAAGCCCUCCCUCCCUCCCUCCCUUCCCUACCAUCAGUUUCCCUUCUCCCUCCGCACAAAAGUAACACAUAUCUCGAGGGGGUAGCAGUAGUUCGUCCACCCUCAUUUAAGUAUUAAGGACUUUCAAGUCACUACAACCCUUUCAUUCAGGCCCGCUGCCUCGCGUCCUGAAGGGGGGAGAGUCUGGCCUCCUCUUGAAACAAAAGUAGAAAUAUCCUGACACUGGCCGCCGCCGCCGCCGCGGUUGUUGGGUUUCUCAGCCGGCUUCUGCCCACCACAGAGAAACGGAACAUUUUCUAAUACAGAGAACCUCGUAGGGUCUUCUUUAGGGAAAGGUACUCCUGUAACAUAAAGUAUAUGUGAAAAGAAGAUUUCCUGCUUCGAGAAAAGUACCGGUGUAAAGGACACAAGCGGCCUAUGAAACUCCUAGUCCUAGGCUAGCGAGCUCUGCCGGGAGGCUGGGUCCUGUGGUCUGUCUGCUCCUAGGGGCUGGUUCUCUCUCCGCGAUAAUGCUGCCUACGAGGACCAACAACAAUGGGCACUUUCGUUAUAGUGGCUAAGACCGGGCGAUAGACCUCUCCUCCUAGCAUUCCUGGAAGGUGGUGGAUAAUACCACAUCUCGUGACAGUCGGUUGCAUAGGUUCCUUUACUAAUUGACUGAAAAGGACUGGUUUUAGAAAUGGGAUGGGGAGGGGAUUCUAUUCUCGCUCUCCACGCCCUUCAUAAUCUUAUAAAUCUCUGCAGUGUUUCUUUUCUAGUCCAAACGCUUCUUUAGCCAUUCCUCCUCAGGAAAGUGCUGCUGCAUUCCUGCUUGCUUAUGCUCAGGCGAAGACCGUCUGAGUGGAGGCAGUAGGAGAGAUAAAGCAUAGUCUUAUCAUAUGAACGAGUACCCAGAAAUAAAUCUGACUCCGUUCAAUGGGACGUAUUCCCAAAUAAAGAGAUGAGUGCCCAUUUCACUUAAGUAACUGCUCCUGUGAACACGACCGGAGGCUCUCUGGGACAUUUUCUACUUCACAACAGGAUAUAUACAAGGAACAUUUACUUCUUGGCCUUAAGUGAGAAAUAGAAACACAUACAACAGAAAGCUUAAGGAGAGGAGAGCUGGUCUUAUGGUAGCAAGCAUGACUUGUCUCCUUAGCUAAGCAGGGUCUGCCCUGGUUGCAUAUGAAUGGGAGACUAGAAGUGCAAGCAUUGUAAGAUAUUCCCCUCAGAGGAUGGAGCCGCGCUCUGGGAAGAACAGAAGCUUCCAAGUUCCCUCCCUGGCAACUCCAAGAUAGGCCUGAGAGAGACCCCUGCCUGCAACCUUGGAGAAGCUGCUGCCAGUCUGCCUUUUCUUGCUGUGAGUCUCCUAGACUAGGCCUUCAAACUGUUAGGAAGACUGAGAAGCAUCUCCUUGGGGAAGUUGCAGAUCUUCAGGCAAUGUAAUUGAGGAGUUGCUCCUCAAGCUUUCCCUCUGUCUGCACCCCUGCUGUCCCACUGAGGAGGGCUCCGGCUGCUCACUAGGCUGCACAUUUAACAAAACAAGGAGCGUGGGGCGGGUGUGGGGGUCGUUUGUUCUUUCAGACUUUCUGCAUUGGCUGCAUUUGGAAACAAGGAGCUCCUCCUUCUUGAGUUCUGCCAGUCCGAGGAUGAUCAAAGAAGACCGUUGGUCCCGCGCACGCCUGAUCGCCAAGGAGUCCGAGCCUAGAAGUCCUGCUGCUGUCGCUUUCCUACCCUUUGUUUGGAUCUAGUUUGGUGGCCGGCGCAGAAAGUGCGCUCUUGCUCCACCAGUUUCGUUGGGACAGCGCGCUUGAUCGGGCUGGCGUGGUGACUCCUUGGAUCCGAGCCAAAGCUAAAAGGGCUCCACAGGGCUUGCUCCGUUCUAAUGGGGCGGAAAGUCCCCUCUUUCCCCAGCGCGCGCGCUUCUCAAACCGAGCAAGCGAGGCUGUACUAGCGUGUGGAGUCCUUGGGGACCUGGCUCGCCCUGGGAUUAAGAAGUGGAGGGACAGGCACCUCCUUGGCCUCCCCGAUGACCCCAGGGCUGUGGCUGUGAGACAUGCCGCUUUGCAGCCACCAACGAGGAUUGCAGCCAGGGAGAAGGUGGGAUCCACCCCAAAAGGCAACCUCAAACCCCACUCCAGUCCUAUCUGCCAAAGGCCACCCGUCACCUACUCGCGCCCCCGCAAAAAGAACCACACGCUCCACAACCUUAGCCACUUCUUCCGCUGUCCUGAGCGGCGUGUCCCCCAAAGUUCAGCACAGCUUUCUUCUCCCAGCCCGGCAGCCCCCUUCCAGGAACACCACACACUCCCAAGGAAAAUCCAAGAGCGAAGCAUCGGCAUUGCGGGAUUUCCUUAGACCCGGGGAAACCCAGGAUGGAGAAAAGCUGAGGAGGGAAAGCGGGCAUCAGUUGGUUUACUCUAUUUUAUUCACUUGGAGGGAAGAGUUUGAAGAGGCAUAUCGGCCCGAACUUUGCUUGCAGCUUCACAAAACUGUCAGCUCCUAAAAAAUAUUUGCUCCCCCUGUGGUUUUCCAAUCUACAUAACUCUGAGCAAACAGCAAGUGGGUACAUUUACGGUGAUACUACAUACAGUGCGCGACAGCGACGCGCAAGUUCGGCUAUGAUUAAGCCAACAUUAAGAGAAAGAAGAUAGCCUACUGUAUGGCCAGUUUAGGAGCCGACAGUUUAAGACAUUUUUCACUGCCAUCCUCUGGUCCUUGUCCUCGUCCCCACCCCCUCUUCAAGCACUGACAACAAACAGAAGACGACCUGUUUGGUCGCCUUUUUGAGUGCCAGGACAAAACGUUAAACAUGAUUAUAUGGCCGUGUAGAUCCAGUCCAACGUCCAGCGUUAAUAAGUCUUUAAAUACUGUUUGGCAAAUCAUUUAUGCAAGAAACAACUGUGGCUCCCCCCCCCCCCACAACUCAGUCACAGCAGCCCGUAGCAGCCUCUGCCUCAAAUAACUCUUUGAACUUUUAACGUGUUCAGUAGAAGGGUAUGAGGAUGUCCUUAAUUGAACAUGGAAAACAAAAGGAACAAUUUCACGGUGAGUGUACCUAACCUUAGAUAUGCCAAUCCGAUAUAAUUUGGUUUUUAUGUUUCAAAGCAAAUAACAUCUCAAGAUGUUUGAAUUGAUAUCUCAGAUAUAUUUAAAAACUUGAAAUAUAUUUUGUUUAGUAGGAAAUUCAUUCAAUCUAGACUUUAUUUCAAAUGUCACAGUGACAUUUUCCAAAUAUAUUGUUCUAUUUUAAUAUGUUUGAUUAAAAGAUAUUAUAUUAUUUCCAAUAAGAAGAAAAAUCCCAGGAUCUCAGAAUUACACUUGUAAUUUCAAAAUAAGUUAAACAUAAAGAUAUUGUCACCAGUUGUUUAUUACAGGGGGAAUAAUUUUUAAAAGUAAGAGAAAGAGAGAGAAGCAUUAGGACUCAAACAAAGAAAAGUAAAAGAUGCACUGAUAUUUCAUAUUUAAACACUAUUAAAGAAAACAAAUUUUCCUUACAGUGUAUGUAUAGAACAUAUUUGGUUCUAUAAAUUUAUUUGGUCUUCUGACCCAAAUUAAGUAGAUGUUCAAAACAAUUAAAUGGUAUAAAAAGAUAUACAAGCUUGAAACUGUUCACUUCUGUUUUUAAAGACUUCUAGCACAAAAUGAACUCAAGAAAGACUUCACUAAAGUUUUCUUGAAAACUUUACAGAAAUACCCAUCUAUGUUCAUUUAAUAUGACACAAGCCACAGACAUCUGCUACUUAUAAAUAUUCUACUACCAUAUUCUAACACUAAGAAGUCUCUGUGACUACACUUUUUGUGUGGAAACAAGUGAUAAAAUUUCACACUCUCCAAUAACUCAAAAGCAGUUUAUCUUUUGAUGUUUGCCGAAUUAUCAUGAAGUAAUUUAUUAUUUUAAUUACAAAAUUAAAUACUGCAGAUUAAAAUGCAGAAUAUAAGUUGUAAAGCACACACAACCCAGAUCUUGGAUGUUUUUAUGUUAACAAAUAAGGCAUAUUAUAUUAAGAACUGGAUGUCAACAAAAAUGGAUUUUAGAACCCUUAAAUGUGAAAGGUAAUUUUGACAAGAUGACAAUUCAAUUCAAGUGUAAUGAACAGAAAUAAAAUUAUUUAAAACUCACAACAAAACAAGAGCUUUCCAUAUGGCUCAUGGUGAAUGAAUUUGUUCACAUCAGGUAAACCUACAAAAUGACCAGCAUACAAUACUGUAUGGAAUUAUUAAACAACAUUUCUUAUCAACUUUGAGAAGU
Hemicordylus capensis (graceful crag lizard) is the source of this 4899-nucleotide long non-coding RNA. RefSeq lists it as uncharacterized. The record is from RefSeq and is a predicted model, not a curated record. The transcript has 3 exons. Lineage: Eukaryota; Metazoa; Chordata; Lepidosauria; Squamata; Cordylidae.